UACGAAGGUCGCAAGCGUUAUCCGGAGUUACUGGGCGUAAAGAGUUCGUAGCUGGUCUAGUAAGUCUGAUUUUAAAGACUCUGUCUCAAGCAGAGGAAGGGGUCAGAUACUGCUAUUCUGGAGAUAACUGGGGGUUAGUGGAAUUACCGGUGGAGGGUGAAAUCCGUUGAUAUCGGUAGGAACGCCAAAAGCGAAAGCAACUAACUAUGGUUUUCUGACAGUCAAGAACGAAAGCUCGGGGAUCAAACGGG
RNAcentral lists this ribosomal RNA (251 nucleotides) under uncultured bacterium. Its description in RNAcentral is "partial 16S ribosomal RNA". It matches the Rfam family "Bacterial small subunit ribosomal RNA", at positions 524 to 776 of the family's 1533-position model. The record is from RNAcentral.